CAGUCUGUUUCUUUACCCAUAGGGUGAGUGAACAUGUUUAACACGCAAGAGAAAGUGUGGAGUUAUUAGGGCCGCCUGUCUUAAAGCACAGACUGAGCAGUGGUAUAAAACUCCCAACAUUA
Protopterus annectens (West African lungfish) is the source of this 122-nucleotide small nucleolar RNA. RefSeq annotates it as small nucleolar RNA U109. The transcript has a single exon. NCBI's taxonomy places the organism in Eukaryota, Metazoa, Chordata, Ceratodontiformes, Protopteridae. The record is from RefSeq and is a predicted model, not a curated record.